Musa acuminata AAA Group (dessert banana) is the source of this 752-nucleotide long non-coding RNA. RefSeq lists it as uncharacterized. Lineage: Eukaryota; Viridiplantae; Streptophyta; Magnoliopsida; Zingiberales; Musaceae. The transcript has 2 exons. The record is from RefSeq and is a predicted model, not a curated record.
AGUGUCCACCAUUGGAUGUGUCCUCCCGACCCAACUCACACUGUCGUCCCCCUUUCUUCUCCCUCUCUCUCUCUCUCUCUCUCUCUGGAGCAAAGAAUGAUUUCUUGCCUCGGUGAACCCUUCAUGUAGAUCUUAUCCAUGGAUCAGAUCUUAGGAGAACCAAGUCAUGUGUGAGAUCAGCUAAAGAAAAGAAGAAGAAGAAGAAGAUGAUGAUGAUGAUGACAGGAGAGGGGGUAGAAGUAGAAGCUAGAAUUACACACCAUGUGGAGGCCACUGUGGUGCACAGGUAGAUCUUAAUCCCAGAUCUACUUUAGCUGCAGGAGCACCUACCUUGACAGAGAAAUAAAUCUUGGUGGAUUAGCCAGCUAGAUCUGACAUGGCGAUGUCAUCCACACAACUGUUCCACCUUGAUUAAUCCCAAGCUGCAGCAUCGGAAGCAGUGAUCAUACACAUCGGUAAACAUGGAAGACGGUCGACUUUGGACGGAUACGCAAGCUUUCCUCGGAAAAGGAUGUUUAACCAUGCACAGAAAGAUCCAUUUCUCCUUCCUACUGAUACACACACGUGAAGCAUUCCCUCGGCUGCAUGCCUCACCUCCUCCUCUUAUCUGCCGCUGGGCUACGGUGGAGGGACAGUGACGAGUCACUGCAUGCAAACAAACCUCUCUCUUCCUCUUUCUUCGCCAGCGCAAAUGUUUCAUGGCCUUUGUGAUGUGGGCUGGUGGUUAGCUUAAUUUAAUGCAAUUUGGCUAA